Molecule: ribosomal RNA, 464 nt
Filed under: uncultured bacterium
Lineage: Bacteria
Description: bacterial SSU rRNA
Rfam family: Bacterial small subunit ribosomal RNA
Source: RNAcentral
AUUGAACGCUGGCGGCAUGCCUUACACAUGCAAGUCGAACGGCAGCACGGGAGCAAUCCUGGUGGCGAGUGGCGAACGGGUGAGUAAUAUAUCGGAACGUGCCCAGUCGUGGGGAUAACGUAGCGAAAGCUACGCUAAUACCGCAUACGAUCUAUGGAUGAAAGCGGGGGAUCGCAAGACCUCGCGCGAUUGGAGCGGCCGAUAUCAGAUUAGGUAGUUGGUGAGGUAAAGGCUCACCAAGCCGACGAUCUGUAGCUGGUCUGAGAGGACGACCAGCCACACUGGGACUGAGACACGGCCCAGACUCCUACGGGAGGCAGCAGUGGGGAAUUUUUGGGACAAUGGGCGCAAGCCUGAUCCAGCAAUGCCGCGUGCAGGAUGACGGUCCUAUGGAUUGUAAACUGCUUUUGUACAGGAAGAAACACUCCCUCGUGAGGGAGCUUGACGGUACUGUAAGAAUAAGG